Magnolia sinica is the source of this 751-nucleotide long non-coding RNA. RefSeq lists it as uncharacterized. NCBI's taxonomy places the organism in Eukaryota, Viridiplantae, Streptophyta, Magnoliopsida, Magnoliales, Magnoliaceae. The record is from RefSeq and is a predicted model, not a curated record. The transcript has 2 exons.
UACUAUACGCUCGACCUUACGGUAGCACUCCGUAAGGUCGACUGGUGGCAGCACGUUGAACGUCGGAUUUGAGUUUUUGAAACCAACGGUUGAGAUGUAAGCGCGGAUUGAAGGAAGAAAACCGGGGAAACCGGUUAUGGUUAUGUCGAGCACGUACACGGUCACUUAAAAGGUUGUUUUAGCCUAUCCGUCUGGCCCUCUUUCUCUCCCUAAACUUCUGCAAGCAGCCCUCUCUCCCUCAAUCCGUCACCAGACGCCCCGUGUAGCCUCUCUCUCUCUCUCUCUCUCUCUCUCUCUCUCACUCUCUCUCUCAAUGCAACCCUGGCCGUGCAACCCUCUCUCUCCCUCCUUCAAUCCCUACCACCACAAGUAGGGACAACCCACCCGUCGUCACUCCUUCUCUCCCUCAAUCGGUACCACCAGCUGCGACCGCCUCCACCCCUCUCUCCCUCAUUCCCUACCACCACGCUGUGCAGCCUCGGAUUGAGCGUUACAGAAUCCGAGUAAGGAAUAUUUGAACAGGUUUUGAAUGGGGACCUUGAGUUUUCAUCCAAUCCAUGGCCUAGUAUCUCUGAGAGUGCAAAAGAUUUAGCAUGGAGAAUGCUUAUUAGAGACCCAAAAAAGCAGCUGACCGCCCAUCAAGUUCUGUGUGAGUGUUUUUUUUAUAUAGCUAUAUCAUGUUUUAUAAUUUAGAGAUCUUGAAAGUGGUGAAAUAUUUAUGGUUUUGUUUAUUAGUGCAAAAAUACUUCUC